ACAGCUCUGGCGCCAUAAUCAGGGUCGCGGGUUGGGAUCAGCUGUGCCUCCCCAUCCCCACCCCCUACAGACCACCUCCCCUUACCCUGCCUGCCUGGAGCCCCAGCUGGCUCUUGGAAGGUCCCUUUCCAAUUUGCUCCACAUUCGGGAGUUUCUUAUUCCCACGGGAAGAACUCGUUGCCAUGGCGAUGUGCGCCUCCCAACCCUGAAGCCCGCCCUGGAAGCGAAAUCCUUGCCUGGGCUCCCAGGCUGAGCCGGAGGACCCCGGGGGUUCACCUAGCCCUCUGGGAUAAGGGGCUUUAGUCUCUAUAUUCUUUGGGCUUGGGGGUUGGGGACAGUGGGAGGAUUAAUUAUGGAGGCAAGGUCAGAGGAAAAGGGAAAAAUGGGAAAGAUUUUAUUUAAAGCCCCUGGUCAUUCUUGCCUUUCCGCCCGCCCACCACGACCCCUCAAGCCAGAUGCCGUCUCUAGUUCGGGAGCGUUGGAUGAGGAUGCCAGGCACUCUGCUUUUCCUAAACAACUUCCAAGAACCCCGGAACAUUUCUUAAAGUGUCUGGAACGAAGCUUUAACCUCGCCUGCUCCAUCAGCCUGGGACGGAAAAGACGCGAGGGGCGAAGAAGAGGUGGGGCACGGGGAGCCCGGGCCGUUCGGCCAGACACACACCCACCCACACGCCUCUUCCCUUCCCCUCCACCCUCAGUCAGCGGCAGAGUCAGUCCAUCCAAUAGGCAGGAGCCCAAAAGACUGUCCACGGACAGCUGUCCUCUCGCCCAGGAGAGUGGGGCUGCACACAGCAGCAGGCCCAGGAGGAAAUCGUGCUUUGAUAGCCCCAGGCAUCGUAUUUCAUCGUAUUUCACAAGUGAGCCAAAUGGAGAAGGGAUUAGCUGUUUCACCCAAUAAGCCCACAUCUGUAGUUACAUUCUGACUGGGAUAAAAUUACCCUGGUUAUUAAUCCUUCUGCUUUAGGGCAUAAGCUGAUCACCAGCUGGGGUCAGGAAAAAACUCCACCCCAGCUCCUUCCAACUUGCUCCCCCAUCCUCAGCUGCUCCAUUUCCUGUGGUCUAUUCUUGCACAGUUAGGUCUACAAGCCAGGUUCAAGGCCACCAACUGAGGCACCUGUCCCGAGACAGGACCAUUCUAAUCUGCCCUGAAAAGGACAUCCCAUUGAUCAUGUAAGUAUGUACUGAGAAUCUACUGUGGGCAAGACAUUGGUCUUCGCUGUGGGAGAUACAAAAACCAUUCAGGCAUGGCCCUUGCCUUUUUCAUGCCAAGAAAAGCUGAAGUGUGUGGUCAGAAAUUGCAUGUGGUUUCUGGGACUUACUGCCCUGAAGCACCCUGGGUGUAUCGGAUGGCCUCAGGGAACACAGUUUGGGUAUGGGCAGUAUUUUCAUGCCCAUUGCCAUUCCCUUCUGCCUCAAGUGUAUGUGGGCUUUCCCUGCAGUCAGCCAGCAGGCCAGGCCAGGGUGGCUUUGUUUCUGUCUCUGACCCUUUCUCUUCAGACUCCAAAUCUGCAGGUGCUGGAGACUUUGAAGGAGUCUCCGUUUCCCUUGGUAGAAACAAGAGGUAGGAACAAGCAGGUGGAAAGCCAGGGUUACUCCUUCCAGCCAAUGGGUCUGGGGCUGCAGCACACAAAGUUGACAUCCCGAAAGGCCAUUUUCCUCGAUCGCUUCAGACCUGGCAUUGGGUGGACAGACCACAUGAUUCAGCAUCCAAAUUGGAGAUCUCUCAAUAACAGAAAGAGGUGCCAUUGAUAAUUUCGUGGAACUUUCCUGAGCACACCAGGGUGUGCUCAUUCUUCCUGAGGGGUCAUCUCCCUUGGGCAUCGUAAGAGGCACCACUGAGACACAACAGCUUUUGUCACCAUUUCCCAAUUGUGUCCCAAGCUCUCUGUCCUCUUCCCUGUGCUGGUCAUCUCACAGUCUUCUUCUGCAGGUAGAUCCCCCCUACUUCAGCCCUUCCUCCCACCUCAGCUCCUUUGUUCCCGCUGCCAUGCCCAGAACAACCUAUAUUUCCACUCUCCAACCUUGGAUCAACCCAACUGUGUUUUCACGCUACUAUGUCCAGGAUACUGGAUGAUACUAGAGAUAGCCAUCAGUAACAUUCAUUACAUGAAUAAGUCUGGGUUGAUCCUGUGACACAGUUAUGCCUUCUACCCUCUGCUGCUUCUCAACAUUGCUCAGUCCUUAUGUUGGUGUUCUCAUUUCACAUGAUAGAGUUCCAAACCUUUUGUAGCCCGAAUCGUCAUCUAUCCCCUAAUUCUUGGAAAAGACCCUAACUUCACCAAUAGCAACAACAAUCAAAACCAACUGAACAAACAAAAAAAUACUUAAGAUACGAACCUCUCAGAUUUUCUGAACUCUCCACCUCCAGACUAAAUUUGUGGAUGGAUACCUAUCUGUUGACCAGACCCUCCCUCUUCAAUGAAAACUGCCUCUCCUUCCACUCCAUCUGUGAGGCACCCUUGGAUGCUGACAUGUGCUUACAUAGGACUUCCUGUCCACAGCCAGAAUUAGCCAGAAUUCACUGACCCAUGGUUGGACUCCUAAAAUACUCAAGAUGAGAGACAUGUUACUUUUCUUUACUAUAGUAACUAUCAAAUGCAUCCCAUAACCUUAUGUUGUAAAUGUCAAAUAUGCACAAUAAAAUUUAUUUGAAAAAAUAAAGCUGGAAAAUUGAAAGUAAUGAAUGUUCAGUUAAAAUCUGCAAACAAGCUAAUAAAUAAAUACUCAAGAUGGCCCAGUGACAGCCUUUCUCUAGAGUUUUUGAUUUGAGGCCAAGAAGGUUAGUGCAGCCUUUCUCCCAUGGCUGUCACUGUGAAGAUAAACAUUUGGGAAUUGAUGGCAGCCUUGUUUCUCCACCAGGCUGAAGAAACUAGGACCUGCGGGGGCUGAGACUGGAGUGAAACAGAUGUGAAGAGAAAAGUCCUGGGUCCAGGUGGUCCUGGGGCCCAGCCAUGCUCUUGUUUUUUUUUUUUUGUUUGUUUUUUGUUUGUUUGUUUGUUUGUUUUGUUUUAAUAGAUUUAAAUUGGUUCCUGCCAGGUACAGUCAAAGGCCUUUUUACCUGCUUCUCAGAGAAUUUCCCUCCGCCUGCCUGUGGCUAAUUCCUUCUCCUGCACCCUUGGUUCAGCCUCACCUGGCGACCCUUGUUCCAUCACUUCCACCACUUCUCUAGAAUCUUCAGUCAUUUCAGCAAUACAUAUGUUCAUCUUCCUGCCCAAAAACUGAAUAAGCAAAGACUUUCUUUCAUCUCUGACCCUCUUCAACUUCUGCCCUUCCCUUCUACUCACUAUCUCUAUUUUCUCACCUCCUACUUAAUGCCCAAUCUGCUGCUGCUAUCUUGCUCCAUUUCUUCUUCCCAUUUUCCUGAGGCUACUCUCUUGACAGGGAGUGCAUUGCAGAAUAUGUCCAAUUUCUUGUGUUUAUGUUACUUGUCUGCAGCAUCUGGCAUCAGUAACCACCUCCUCUUUCUCAAAACUCCCACUGCACUUGAUGGUUUUCCUGCUGGUUCUUGACCUGAUGCAGAAAAGCUUGACCUGCAGAAGCUGUACUAGAAGCAAUCAGGAUCUAAAGCUCUAGACUUUUCCAACCUGCCUCUCAUUGCCAUAAAAAUGCAACUGGCCUGUGUCUCCUCUCCUGGUGCACUGCUAAGGGAGGGCUGACUGAUCUAAUGAGAUUACUGGAGCUAAGGCAUUCACAGCAUCAAGAGGAGAGACACAGAAAUGUAAGACCUAAGUCCUGCCUUCAAAAACCCACAUGCUCAUUGGAAAAACAACACAGAAACACUUAAAAAAUGAAAUUCAAGCAUGAAGUAACAGCGUGAGGUAUGUCACAAAGUGGUAUGUUAUUAUUUUUUUUUAUGAGGUGGAAUCUCACACUGUCACUCAGGCUGGAGUGCAAUGGCAUGAUCUCGGUUCACUGCAACCUCCACCUCCCAGGUUCAAGUGAUUCUCCUGCCUCAGCCUCCUGAGUAGCUGGGAUUACAGGCGCCCACCACCAUGCCCAGCUAAUUUUUGUAUUUUUUUAUUAGAGACGGGGUUUCACCAUCUUGGUCAGGCUGGUCUCGAACUCCUGACCUGGUGAUCUGCCUGCCUCGGCCUCCCAAAGUGCUGGGAUUACAGGCAUGAGCCACCGCGCCCAGCCAGUGGCAUGUUAUUAAGAGAUGUGGAUACCAGUUUCUCCAGGAGAUCACAGAGCUUUCCCUGUAGGAGUAAUCAAUGGAGGCAUCCUUGUUGGGGAAGGGUCUUGGUGGUAGAUGCUGGUCUGAAAAUUGACCAAGGCCUUAAGUAAAAGUUAGGAGCUGUAUUUCCAGAGUAGAAAAAGAGAGAGACAGAGAGAGAGAGAGAGGGAGAUUCUAGGCGUGAAGAAAGCCCAAGAGCUCACAAAAUCUUGAGCUUGGGAUAGAAAUCAGACUGGACCAAGUGGAGGGUUAUAGUGGACAGUGCUCAUUUAACAAAAUAUUUUGUUUAUAAAUUUAUUAUUUGAUGUUUUAAAAACGUAUCAAGAAAACAUUAUGGGCAAAAUCAGAACACAGUUGGACUUCCUUACAUUUAUGUUAUUUUUUUUCCUUUUUUCAAUUGAUACACAUAUUUGUACAUAUUUAUGGAGUACAUGUGAUAUUUUGUUACAUGCAUGGAAUGUGGAAUGAUCAAGUCAAGGUAUUUAGGGUAGACAUCACCUCAAGUAUUUAUCAUUUUUAUAUGUUGGGAACAUGUCAAGUUCUCUCUUCUAGCUAUUUUGAACUAGACAAUACGUUGUUACUGACUAUAGCACCCCACUGUGGUAUAGAACAUUAGAACUUAUUCCUCCUAUCUAACUGUAUGUACCCACCAACUAAGCACUCUCUUAAUCCCCUUCCCCACCAGCACACCUUCGCAGCAUCUGGUAUCUAUCAUUCUCCUCUCUACCUCCAUAAGAUCAACUUUUUUUAGCUUCCAUAUAUGAGUGAGAACUUGCAAUGUUUGUCUUUCUCUGACAGCCUUAUUUCACUUAACAUAAUGACCUCCAGUUCCAUUCAUGUUGCUACAAAUGACAAGAUUUUAUUCCUUUUUUAUGGCCAAAUAGUAUUCUAUUUGUGUAUUUAUAUCACAUUUUUAAUCCAUUUGUCCAUUGAUGGACACUUAGGUUGAUCCCCUAUCUUUGCUAUUGUGAAUAGUGCUGUCGUAAACUGAGAGCACAGGUAUGCUGUGAUGUACUGAACUCCUUUCCUUUAGAAAAAUACCCCAUAGUGGGAUUGCUGGGUCAUAUGGUAGUUCUAUUUUUAGUUUUUUGAGAAAUCUCCGUACUGUUUUCCAUAAUGGCUGUACUAAUUUAGAUUCUCACCAACAGAUCCUUGCCAGCAUCUGUUACUAUUUUUUUUUUGUCUUUUUAAUAGUAGCCAUUCUAACAGGGGUAAGAAAAUGUCUCAUUGUGGAUUUCGAUUUGCAUUUCCCUGAUGAUUAGUGAUGUUGAGCAUUUUUUCAUGUACCUGUUGGCCAUUUGUAUGUCUUCUUUUGAGAAAUGUCUAUUCAUGUCCUUUGCUCACUUUUUAAUGGGAUUAUAUGGGUUUUUUUUCAACUGUUGGGUUGUUUGAGUUCCUUGUACAUUCUGGAUAUUAGUCCUUUGUCACAUUAAUAGUUUGCAAAUAUUUUCUCCAAUUCACCAGGCUGUCUCUUCACACUGUUGAUUGUGUGUAGAUGCUGUGCAGAAGCUAUUUAGUUCAACAUAGUCCCAUUUGUCUAGUGUUGUUUUUGUUGCCUAUGCUUGUGAUCCUGUUUUAUAUUUAUGGAGGAUAGAGGUGAGACAUCAUAAUCAUAUCAGUGUUAAGGACCUUGAAAGGUUGAAUGCAGAUCUUUAGUAGCACAUAAAGCUGGGACUAUAUUUUGGAAGACUUGAAUUCCAAGUGAAGCAGUUGGACCUUGCAUAUCUUGAUGUGCAAAGGGCUUUGAGGACAAUGACUACCUCAAGUUCUCUGGGUCUCUGGAGAAAAAUAUUUCUGAUUUUACAUACCUAGUCUAAUAUUGGAUUUCGUAUCUUUUACUGCAUAGUGUACAUUUUAAAAACUACAUAUGUAAGAGUUUUCUGGUGGUAGAAAUUAUGCCUCUUUGUUUCAUUACUCUUGUUCAUUGGUAUUAGUUGGAAGAGAUAAUGUCCCUUUAAGUGCAAACCCUCCCUUGAAGAAUAAAUCCUAAAACAACUG
This 6172-nucleotide long non-coding RNA is filed under the name Homo sapiens (human). Its description in RNAcentral is "non-protein coding lnc-ZEB1-1:6". Lineage: Eukaryota; Metazoa; Chordata; Mammalia; Primates; Hominidae. The record is from RNAcentral.